GGCCCGCCCACUUCCGGGUCGUUGUCUCUGCCGCUCACCGCAUAGCACAGAUCGGCAUUACCGAGACGGCCGUGGCGAUGCAUUUGGGUCGUUUGCCUAUGUUGACCGGAGCAUAGCUGCUGGUCGCAUGGUGUGUGGUGGCAGUCCUCCCCCGCUGCGCCGACCCUCUUCACCCCUCUCCCUCUUUGGUGGGGACUCAAACCGACCGGACUGGAAACCGGUAUCUUGACCGUCACGGCCAAAGUUGGAGGCCGACGGUGGUGGUGGUGGUGGUUCCCUGUGUGCGUGUGAUUCCCAUUCAAGAUUAUUUUGUGUGCACCUCACGUUUUGCUGUGUGAAUGGGGUGUUCCCCUCUUUUUUGGACGUCACUUCCCUUUUGUUGACCCCUCCUCCAGCCGUUGGGCGUGGUGCCAGGCAGGUGGCUGUUGUAAACAAACCAGCGGGUGUGUGAUGGGCCAUGGAUCCUAAAGGUAAAAAGAGAAAGAUAGCUGAGGAGAACAGAGGAUUCAACAGUUCUUGGACUGAAUCAUUUGCUUUCAUUGCCAGUGCGGAAGGUUUGCCUGUAUGUUUGAUUUGUAAUGAGAAGCUGUCAGAUAACAAAAAGAGUAAUGUGGAAAGACAUUUCCAGGGAAGGCAUGCUACAUUUGCAGCCGAGUACCCAGUUGGGAGUGAGAGAAAAAGUGCGAUUGCACUACUUCUGGAGAAAUUAGAGGAGCGCAAAGACAGAUUUAAGAAGUGGAUUGCAUCUCCAAACUCCACUACUGCUGCUAGUUUUGUUGCAACCCGGGA
This is a long non-coding RNA of Centropristis striata (black sea bass), 789 nucleotides long. RefSeq lists it as uncharacterized. The record is from RefSeq and is a predicted model, not a curated record. The transcript has 5 exons. Lineage: Eukaryota; Metazoa; Chordata; Actinopteri; Perciformes; Serranidae.